AGCUUCCUUCGGGGCAGCGGUGACAGGUGGUGCAUGGUUGUCGUCAGCUCGUGUCGUGAGAUGUUGGGUUAAGUCCCGCAACGAGCGCAACCCUUAUCUUUAGUUGCCAGCAUUCAGUUGGGCACUCUAGAGAGACUGCCGUCGACAAGACGGAGGAAGGCGGGGAUGACGUCAAAUCAUCAUGCCCCUUAUGACCUGGGCUACACACGUGCUACAAUGGUUGGUACAACGGGAUGCUACCUCGCGAGAGGACGCCAAUCUCUUAAAACCAAUCUCAGUUCGGAUUGUAGGCUGCAACUCGCCUACAUGAAGUCGGAAUCGCUAGUAAUCGCGGAUCAGCAUGCCGCGGUGAAUACGUUCCCGGGCCUUGUACACA
RNAcentral lists this ribosomal RNA (376 nucleotides) under Brevibacillus sp. PDN24. Its description in RNAcentral is "bacterial SSU rRNA". It matches the Rfam family "Bacterial small subunit ribosomal RNA", at positions 1012 to 1389 of the family's 1533-position model. The record is from RNAcentral. Lineage: Bacteria; Bacillati; Bacillota; Bacilli; Caryophanales; Paenibacillaceae.